AGUGAACGCUGGCGGUAGGCCUAACACAUGCAAGUCGAACGGCAGCACAGUAAGAGCUUGCUCUUACGGGUGGCGAGUGGCGGACGGGUGAGGAAUACAUCGGAAUCUACUUUUUCGUGGGGGAUAACGUAGGGAAACUUACGCUAAUACCGCAUACGACCUACGGGUGAAAGCAGGGGAUCUUCGGACCUUGCGCGAUUGAAUGAGCCGAUGUCGGAUUAGCUAGUUGGCGGGGUAAAGGCCCACCGAGGCGACGAUCCGUAGCUGGUCUGAGAGGAUGAUCAGCCACACUGGAACUGAGUCACGGUCCAGACUCCUACGGGAGGCAGCAGUGGGGAAUAUUGGACAAUGGGCGCAAGCCUGAUCCAGCCAUACCGCGUGGGUGAAGAAGGCCUUCGGGUUGUAAAGCCCUUUUGUUGGGAAAGAAAAGCAGCAGGUUAAUACCCCGCUGUUCUGACGGUACCCAAAGAAUAAGCACCGGCUAACUUCGUG
RNAcentral lists this ribosomal RNA (492 nucleotides) under uncultured bacterium. Its description in RNAcentral is "partial 16S ribosomal RNA". It matches the Rfam family "Bacterial small subunit ribosomal RNA", at positions 29 to 507 of the family's 1533-position model. The record is from RNAcentral.